CGGUUGAUCCUGCCGGACCCUACUGCUAUCGGGGUGGGACUAAGACAUGCGAGUCGAGCGUCUCAAAGCUAUGUUGAGACGCGGCAUACGGCUCAGUAACACGUGGUUAACCUACCCUCAGGACGGGGACAAACCCGGGAAACUGGGGCUAAUACCCGAUAGGUGAGGAGGCCUGGAAUGGUUCUUCACCCAAAGGACGUUGGAAACAUGCUUCCAACGUCGCCUGGGGAUGGGGCCGCGUCCGAUCAGGUUGUUGGUGAGGUAAUGGCUCACCAAGCCUAUAACCGGUACGGGCCGUGAGAGCGGUAGCCUGGAGAUGGGCACUGAGACAAGGGCCCAGGCCCUACGGGGCGCAGCAGUCGCGAAAACUCCGCAAUGCACGAAAGUGUGACGGGGCUACCCCGAGUGCCGUCCGCUGAGGAUGGCUUUUCCCCGGUGUAAUGAGCCGGGGGAAUAAGGAGAGGGCAAGUCUGGUGUCAGCCGCCGCGGUAAUACCAGCUCUCCGAGUGGUAGGGAUGAUUAUUGGGCUUAAAGCGUCCGUAGCCGGCUUAGCAAGUCUCCUGUUAAAUUCAGCGACCUAAUCGUUGAGCCGCGGGAGAUACUGCUAGGCUAGGAGGCGGGAGAGGCCGACGGUAUUCUCGGGGUAGGGGUGAAAUCCUAUAAUCCCGGGAGGACCACCAGUGGCGAAGGCUGUCGGCUAGAACGCGCUCGACGGUGAGGGACGAAAGCUGGGGGAGCGAACCGGAUUAGAUACCCGGGUAGUCCCAGCUGUAAACGAUGCGGGCUAGGUGUUGGGGUGGCUACGAGCCACUUCAGUGCCGCAGGGAAGCCAUUAAGCCCGCCGCCUGGGGAGUACGGCCGCAAGGCUGAAACUUAGAGGAAUUGGCGGGGGAGCAC
Molecule: ribosomal RNA, 897 nt
Filed under: uncultured archaeon
Lineage: Archaea
Description: bacterial SSU rRNA
Rfam family: Archaeal small subunit ribosomal RNA
Source: RNAcentral